RNAcentral lists this long non-coding RNA (600 nucleotides) under Physcomitrium patens. RNAcentral's name for it is "long non-coding RNA (PPAT_LNC009627)". The record is from RNAcentral. Lineage: Eukaryota; Viridiplantae; Streptophyta; Bryopsida; Funariales; Funariaceae.
AACAAUGCUAAGUAAGCUUUAAUCAAAUUCAAAGAAACCUCAAAUGAACUACAAAGAAAUAAUAAGAAAUAUUAAAGAAAUAUUAGAAUGAUCAUAAAUAUAUCUCAAAUACAUCUCAAUUCAAUCUUAAUUUAAUCCUAAUUAAAAUCCUAUUGGACUUCAUUCAAACUUUAGGCCAAAUCUAACUAAAUCUUAAAUCUUAAAUAAACCCUAAUAAAAUCCUAAAUCCUAAAUCAAACUCUAAUCAAAUCCUAAAUCUUAAAUCAAAUCCUAAUCAAAUCCUAAAUUCUAAAUCAAAUCCUAAUCAAAUCCUAAAUUCUAAAUCAAAACCUAACCAAAUCUUAAAUCCUAAAUCAAAUCCUAACCAAAUUCUAAUUCUAAAUCAAACCCUAACCAAAUCCUAAUCCUAAAUCAAAUCCUAACCAAAUCCUAAACUCUAAAUCCAAUCCUAAUCAAAUCUUAAAUCCUAAACCAAAUCCUAACCAAAUCUUAACUCUAAAUCAAACCUUAAUCAAAUUCUAAACCCUAAAUCAAAUCCUAACCAAAUCCUAACCCUAAAUCAAACCUUAAUCAAAUCCUAAAUCCUAAAUCAAAUCCUAA